This 406-nucleotide ribosomal RNA is filed under the name uncultured bacterium. RNAcentral describes it as "partial 16S ribosomal RNA". It matches the Rfam family "Bacterial small subunit ribosomal RNA", at positions 30 to 526 of the family's 1533-position model. The record is from RNAcentral.
AUUGAACGCUGGCGGCAGGCCUAACACAUGCAAGUCGAACGAGUGGCGGACGGGUGAGUAAUGUCUGGGAAAAUGCCCGAUGGAGGGGGAUAACUACUGGAAACGGUAGCUAAUACCGCAUACCAUCAGAUGUACCCAGAUGGGAUGAGCUUGUUGGUGGGGUAACGGUUCACCAAGGCGACGAUCCCUAGCUGGUCUGAGAGGAUGACCAGCAACACUGGAACGGAGACACGGUCCAGACUCCUAGGGGAGGCAGCAGUGGGGAAUAUUGCACAAUGGGCGCAAGCCUGAUGCAGCCAUGCCGCGUGUAGGAAGAAGGCCUUCGGGUUGUAAAGUACUUUCAGCGGGGAGGCGUUACCCGCAGAAGAAGCACCGGCUAACUCCGUGCCAGCAGCCGCGGUAAUUC